This 1338-nucleotide long non-coding RNA is filed under the name Homo sapiens (human). RNAcentral's name for it is "non-protein coding lnc-ZNF717-4:7". Lineage: Eukaryota; Metazoa; Chordata; Mammalia; Primates; Hominidae. The record is from RNAcentral.
CGCUUUGCCAACACAUUCUAUUGCGUGUUUUAAUGUUCCUGUGAAUGCGCCCUUGAGAUUUCUCUCUCUCCCGUCCACACAGAGCUUAGAAGCAAAGUUAAGAGACUCAUCAGAUUCUGAGCUGCUGCGGGAUAUUUUGCAGAAGACUGUGAAGCAUCCUGUGUGUGUGUGAAGCACCCGCCGUCAGUCAAGAAAGCCCGGUGCUUUCUCUCAGAACUCAUCAAAAAGACGUGCUGUAUUGCCCAGAAGCCAUCGUGUCGCUGGUCGGGAUCCUGCGGAGGCUGGCUGCCUGCUGGGAGCACCAGCAGUCUCCUGAGGUCUACGUGGCCUUUACCGUCCACAACCCAGAGACGUGCCAGCUGUUCACCACCGAGCUAGGCCGGGCUGGGAUCAUAUGGGAAGCGGAAGCUCAUCAUGACCAGAAACUGUUUCCCUAUGGAGAGCACUUGGAGAUGGCAAUGCUGAACCUCACACUGUAGGACUCACACACGACUCCAACGGGAUUGUGAGAAUCAAGUCAAUCUCAUGGGAAGAAUUUUUAUAUGGGAAAGCGGAUAAAACUUUCAUUGUACUGGAAUGUUUGGAGAAUGUUAAAUUCCAAAUCAGAAACCACAAACUGCCCUCUAAUAAGACAUCGGCUAUCUAAGCGUGUGGGUGCCCCCUUUCUGCCAGCAGUUCUGGUUCUUACGAAAAUCACCAUAUAUCAGACAUGAAAAUUCUGGCUUUGUGCAGAUAAAAAAGUGUGUAUCAAGUAUGACGUUCCCCCAAUGUGGACACACUUGGUUCCUCAGAAAGCCAAGCCCACUGCAGCUGCCACAUCCCUGGACACACUCGGUUCCUCACAAAGCCAAGCCCGCUGCAGCUGUCACAUCCCUGGACACACUCGGUUCCUCACAAAGCCAAGCCCACUGCAGCUGCCACAUCCCUGAGCCUAUGGUGCAGCAGGUGCUUUUUUCAAGACAGGGAUCAAAGUGUUAGGAACACGGCAGAAAGGUGACACCUGGAGACCAAAUGCAGGAUGAGGAGUACUGCAGAGGUCACAGGGAAGUCAGAGAACAGUAAUACGCUAACAGGGGCACGGGGCAUGAAGAACAAAAGACAGGAAGCGUUUCAGAGACUCCAAAGAAGAAAUCAGGGCCAACCACAGCUUCCCGGGUCAUUCACCAGGUGGCACCACUGCCGUCAUUUCAGCUUCUGGCCACUGGGAGGCGCUGCUCGAAAGGGUUUGCCCUGACACUCCAAGAAGCUGCGGGAAGGACAGCAGGGGCCCUGGGGUUUUAGCCUCUGGCCCAGGAGUUAUGUGUCCAUAACCAAAGGGAGCACAGUCUGCACCCAGCU